CCUACGGGAGGCAGCAGUGAGGAAUAUUGGUCAAUGGACGAGAGUCUGAACCAGCCAAGUAGCGUGAAGGAUGACUGCCCUAUGGGUUGUAAACUGCUUUUAUAAGGGAAUAAAAUGUUCCACGUGUGGGAUUUUGUAUGUACCAUAUGAAUAAGGAUCGGCUAACUCCGUGCCAGCAGCCGCGGUAAUACGGAGGAUCCGAGCGUUAUCCGGCUUUAUUGGGGUUAACGGGAGCGUAGGUGGAUUGUUAAGUCCGUUGUGACAGUUUGCGGCUCAACCGUAAAAUUGCCGUUGAAAAUGGCAGUCUUUAGUACAGUAGAGGUUGGCGGAAUUCGUGGUGUAGCGG
RNAcentral lists this ribosomal RNA (346 nucleotides) under uncultured bacterium. RNAcentral describes it as "partial 16S ribosomal RNA". It matches the Rfam family "Bacterial small subunit ribosomal RNA", at positions 338 to 681 of the family's 1533-position model. The record is from RNAcentral.